This 341-nucleotide unclassified non-coding RNA is filed under the name soil metagenome. RNAcentral's name for it is "partial contains 5.8S ribosomal RNA, internal transcribed spacer 2, and large subunit ribosomal RNA". The stretch from base 1 to 120 matches the Rfam family "5.8S ribosomal RNA", at positions 35 to 154 of the family's 154-position model. The record is from RNAcentral.
GAUGAAGAACGCAGCGAAAUGCGAUAAGUAAUGUGAAUUGCAGAAUUCAGUGAAUCAUCGAAUCUUUGAACGCACAUUGCGCCCGCUAGUAUUCUGGCGGGCAUGCCUGUCCGAGCGUCAUUUCAACCCUCAAGCCCCCGGGCUUGGUGUUGGGGAUCGGCGAGCCUCCGCGCCCGCCGUCCCCUAAAUCUAGUGGCGGUCUCGCUGUAGCUUCCUCUGCGUAGUAGCACACCUCGCACUGGGAAACAGCGCGGCCACGCCGUUAAACCCCAACUUCUGAAUGUUGACCUCGGAUCAGGUAGGAAUACCCGCUGAACUUAAGCAUAUCAAUAAGCGGAGGA